AACGAACGCUGGCGGCAUGCCUAACACAUGCAAGUCGAACGAACCCUUCGGGGUUAGUGGCGCACGGGUGCGUAACGCGUGGGAAUCUGCCCUUGGCUUCGGAAUAACAGUUAGAAAUGACUGCUAAUACCGGAUGAUGUCGCAAGACCAAAGAUUUAUCGGCCAGGGAUGAGCCCGCGUAGGAUUAGGUAGUUGGUGGGGUAAAGGCCUACCAAGCCGACGAUCCUUAGCUGGUCUGAGAGGAUGAUCAGCCACACUGGGACUGAGACACGGCCCAGACUCCUACGGGAGGCAGCAGUGGGGAAUAUUGGACAAUGGACGCAAGUCUGAUCCAGCAAUGCCGCGUGAGUGAUGAAGGCCUUAGGGUUGUAAAGCUCUUUUACCCGGGAUGAUAAUGACAGUACCGGGAGAAUAAGCUCCGGCUAACUCCGUGCCAGCAGCCGCGGUAA
RNAcentral lists this ribosomal RNA (449 nucleotides) under uncultured bacterium. RNAcentral's name for it is "partial 16S ribosomal RNA". It matches the Rfam family "Bacterial small subunit ribosomal RNA", at positions 29 to 523 of the family's 1533-position model. The record is from RNAcentral.